Molecule: ribosomal RNA, 429 nt
Filed under: Bacteroidota bacterium
Lineage: Bacteria; Pseudomonadati; Bacteroidota
Description: Bacteroidetes bacterium partial 16S ribosomal RNA
Rfam family: Bacterial small subunit ribosomal RNA
Source: RNAcentral
UAGGGAAUCUUCGGCAAUGGGGGGAACCCUGACCGAGCAACGCCGCGUGAGUGAAGAAGGUUUUCGGAUCGUAAAGCUCUGUUGUUAAGGAAGAACGAGUGUGAGAAUGGAAAGUUCAUACUGUGACGGUACUUAACCAGAAAGGGACGGCUAACUACGUGCCAGCAGCCGCGGUAAUACGUAGGUCCCGAGCGUUGUCCGGAUUUAUUGGGCGUAAAGCGAGCGCAGGCGGUUAGAUAAGUCUGAAGUUAAAGGCAGUGGCUCAACCAUUGUAGGCUUUGGAAACUGUUUAACUUGAGUGCAGAAGGGGAGAGUGGAAUUCCAUGUGUAGCGGUGAAAUGCGUAGAUAUAUGGAGGAACACCGGUGGCGAAAGCGACUUUCUGGUCUGUAACUGACGCUGAUGUGCGAAAGCGUGGGGAUCAAACAGG